AUUGAACGCUGGCGGCAGGCCUAACACAUGCAAGUCGAGCGGAGCGGCGGACGGGUGAGUAAUGCCUAGGAAUCUGCCUGGUAGUGGGGGAUAACGUCCGGAAACGGGCGCUAAUCCCGCAUACUAUCAGAUGAGCCUAGGUCGGAUUAGCUAGUUGGUGGGGUAAUGGCUUACCUAGGCGACGAUCCGUAACUGGUCUGAGAGGAUGGUCAGUCGCGCUGGAACUGAGACACGGUCCAGAAUCGUACGGCAGGCAGCAGUGGGGAAUAUUGGACAAUGGGCGAAAGCCUGAUCCAGCCAUGCCGCGUGUGUGAAGAAGGUCUGCGGAUUGUAAAGCGCUUUAAGUUGGGAGGCGUUACCAACAGAAUAAGCACCGGCUAACUUCGUGCCAGCAGCCGCGGUAAUUC
This 407-nucleotide ribosomal RNA is filed under the name uncultured bacterium. RNAcentral describes it as "partial 16S ribosomal RNA". It matches the Rfam family "Bacterial small subunit ribosomal RNA", at positions 30 to 526 of the family's 1533-position model. The record is from RNAcentral.